RNAcentral lists this long non-coding RNA (961 nucleotides) under Androctonus crassicauda. Lineage: Eukaryota; Metazoa; Arthropoda; Arachnida; Scorpiones; Buthidae. The record is from RNAcentral.
GUUUGGAUACUCUAAUAGACAAUAAUGUGAUAUUCUAAUAUACAGUAAUAUGGCUCGGACAUUGUUGCAGUCGGCGGCUACGGUCUGGAUAAAUAACAGACCUCGGCUGCAGCCGGCGCCAGCACCUAGUUUCUCAACUCUGGAAGAGUCGUCCGUUAUAAGCGUUUUAAACCGUUUUCCUUACGGAACGAAGUGUUCUUUCCACGCUAUCGUAACGACGUUCGAUCCUUUAGGGUUCUAUUACCUCGGACCUUCGAGGUUAGGAAAAAGAACGGGGAAUAUACAAUUAUUCGAGAACCGUGAGUCGGAAACUAGAUAUCGCGAAAGACGUAUCUAGCCGCCUGUGGGUACGUAUAAUAUAGUAUACCAACAUCGCCGUAACGUUUCCGCUUAAGUGGCUGUCGGGCUCCGCAGUUUUCUCGUUCCAAUCCAGGUUAGGCCUAUCUCCGACGUACCGCUAGAUCUUGUACGCAAAAAAGAAACACCCGGUUCUCGUUCGUAUAGAUACGAUAGUUCUUUGGAUAGGGAAGUCCGCAGAGGUCGUCAACCCCGCACUAUCUUCCAAUUGGAAUUACACGUUAACCGUUAUUCUCGAGAAGAUAGAAGUCAGUAUAUAUACCUUAUAAAGAACUCUAAAACGUGUAAAAGUAUGGUAGAGUUCCGAAGUAUUGUCGGUCGGCGGCUGCUGUCCUCAGGUAUGGAAGAAAUAGCCAGACUUCGGCUGCGGCCGGCCUGCGCGCCUGGUCUCUGCCGGGGGGGGAGGAGGUGUGAGUGGGUGCUUGUCCCGGCCUCGCCGAGGAGGUUUUUAUCAAAAACCGUCCGUUUCUAUGGUUAUUCGGUGUCACGUAAUGCAUGGAUAUGGUCACGUGACUUUGUAUGCAGGCAUUGACGCCCGAUAAUGCCGGCGGCUCGGCGAACCGGGACGGGCACCUGGUCGUACCUCUUCUGCCUCCGGCGGAGA